AACGCAAAUUGCACUGUUGGGUACUCCCAGCAGUGUGUCUGUUUGAGUGUCAGUCAUAAACAAUCAUUCCAAAAAAGAAUGAACAUUGGUACUUUGCAGUUCUAAUAUUAAUUAUUGCAAUGUACUUAAGUAGAUUGAUUUUUUUUGUAGUAAAGUAUGCAUUUGUUUGCUUGAAACACAAAUGAAUAAUGUACUUCUCUUUGCUUACAUGCAAAUUUAAGCAAAAGCAAGAGUGAGUGAUUGUUUUGUUUGUUUUGUUUGAAAAACAUUUGUUUUUAUUACUUAAAUCAAAAAUUUUUUUUUUUAAAAAAUCUUUCUAAAAUUAACAACUUGACCUCAAAUUAGGCAAGGCUACCCGCUGAAUUUAA
RNAcentral lists this unclassified non-coding RNA (368 nucleotides) under uncultured Neocallimastigales. Its description in RNAcentral is "sequence contains 5.8S rRNA gene, ITS2, 28S rRNA gene". Lineage: Eukaryota; Fungi; Neocallimastigomycota; Neocallimastigomycetes; Neocallimastigales. The record is from RNAcentral.